CUGGAGCCCUCCCUGAGCUUGCAACCCUGUGUAGGUGGCUGACGGUGCUUUCAAUAGAGGAAAGGGUUGGGACUUUACCAUUUUCACAAGGGUUCAGUGAAGAAGGCAGAGGGGACGCAGGUUCGAUCCCUGGUCGGGGAACUAGGAUCCCACAUGCCACGGGACAACUAAGCUGAGCCGCAACUCCUGAGCCCACGCACUCUGGAGGCCACGCGCCACACCUAGAGAGAAGCCUGAGCACCAAGCUAGCGAGGAACCUGCGCGCCGCAAUGAAGAGCCUGGGUGCUGCAAUGAAAGAUCCCGCAUGCUGCAACUAAGACCCUGACGCAGCCAAAAAAUAAAUAAACUAAUUAAUUUUUUUAAAAAA
This is a long non-coding RNA of Lagenorhynchus albirostris (white-beaked dolphin), 367 nucleotides long. RefSeq lists it as uncharacterized. The record is from RefSeq and is a predicted model, not a curated record. NCBI's taxonomy places the organism in Eukaryota, Metazoa, Chordata, Mammalia, Artiodactyla, Delphinidae. The transcript has 2 exons.